UACGGAGGGUGCAAGCGUUAAUCGGAAUUACUGGGCGUAAAGCGCGCGUAGGUGGCUUGAUAACCCGCUUGUGAAAGCCCCGGGCUCGACCUGGGAACGGCAUCCGGAACUUUCAAGCUAGAGUGCAGGAGAGGAAGGUAGAAUUCCCGGUGUAGCGGUGAAAUGCGUAGAGAUCGGGAGGAAUACCAGUGGCGAAGGCGGCCUUCUGGACUGACACUGACUCUGAGGUGCGAAAGCGUUGGGAGCAAACAGG
Molecule: unclassified non-coding RNA, 253 nt
Filed under: uncultured Halomonadaceae bacterium
Lineage: Bacteria; Pseudomonadati; Pseudomonadota; Gammaproteobacteria; Oceanospirillales; Halomonadaceae
Description: contains 16S-23S intergenic spacer region
Rfam family: Bacterial small subunit ribosomal RNA
Source: RNAcentral